Non-coding RNA from Candidatus Kaiserbacteria bacterium, 566 nucleotides. NCBI's taxonomy places the organism in Bacteria, Candidatus Kaiseribacteriota. The record is from Rfam.
GGAGUUCUGGAUAAGGGCGUGCGGUGGAUGCCUAGACUGAAGAAAGCGAAGAAGGACGUGGCAUGGCUGCGAUAAGCUCCGGGAAAAUGCCUAGCAAUUGCUAUAUCCGGAGAUUUCCGAAUGGGGAAACCCCAUCAUGUAAACCAUGAUGACUCUUGGCGUAAACAGCCUUGAGAGCUUACCUCGGGAAGUGAAACAUCUCAGUACCGAGAGGAAAAGAGAACAAUAGUUAUUCCCCAAGUAGCGGCGAGCGAAAAGGGAGGAGCCCAAACUCAGCCACAAUAACGCGAUGCGACGCAAGUCGUGGAGCGUUAUUGUGAAUGGGGGUUAUAAGGCUACAGCGCUGGAAACAGGUGGAGUAAAAAAAUGCUGCGUUAGAGGAAUCUGCUGGGAAGCAGAGCCCUAGAGGGUAAUAGCCCCGUAUUCGAAAACAAAGCAUCUCUAUGGCUGUAGUUCUUGAGUAACUCGAGACACGAAUAGCUCGAGUGAAUUUGCCAGAACUAACUGGUAAGGCUACAUAUUUCUUCAGAUCGAUAGUGAACAAGUACCGUGAGGGAAAGGUGAAA